CAUCGCCUUUUGAAUAUAAUUUAAGGUUUGACCUGCCCAAUGAGAAUUUAAAUGGCCGCGAUAUUUUGAUCGUGCGAAGGUAGCAUAAUCAUUAGUUUUUUAAUUGGAAGCUGGAAUGAAUGGUUGGACAAGGAAAUGACUGUCUCAAUUUUAUUUUAAUAGAAUUUUAUUUUUAAGUAAAAAAGCUUAAAUAAAGUUUAAAGACGAGAAGACCCUAUAGAGUUUGAUACUAAAUUUAUGAUUGAAUUAAGGAAUUAUUAUACUUUUAUAAUGUUUGUAUUUGGUUGGGGUGACAGAAAAAUUUAUUAAACUUUUUUUACUUAGAGAUGUUGAUAGACAGCUUAUUGAUCCAUUAUUAAUGAUUAUAAGAUUAAAUUACCUUAGGGAUAACAGCGUAAUCUUUUUUAAGAGUUCAAAUCGAAAAUAAGGAUUGCGACCUC
Molecule: ribosomal RNA, 440 nt
Filed under: Ectinogonia pruinosa
Lineage: Eukaryota; Metazoa; Arthropoda; Insecta; Coleoptera; Buprestidae
Description: partial 16S ribosomal RNA
Rfam family: Bacterial large subunit ribosomal RNA
Source: RNAcentral